GACGAACGCUGGCGGCGUGCUUAACACAUGCAAGUCGAACGGAAGGGCCCUGUUCUUGUGGGGUCUUCGAGAGCCGAACAGGGGUGUGUCACGUGAGUAACCUCCCCUUUACUUUGGGGUACCUCCUGGGAACUCGGGUUCUAAUAGCGCAUAAACUCUUUCAGCACGGGUUGGAUGGUAGAAUGUCGCCAUUGCGGCGGGUAGGGAUGGUUUCGCGUUGUAUUAGCUUGGUGGUGGGGUACCAGCUCAUCAAGGGGUUGACGGGUAGCCGGCCUGAGAGGGAGACCGGCCACAUUGGGACUGGGAUGGGGGCCAGACUCAUACGGGAGGCAGCGGUGGGGAAUAUUGCACGAAGGGCGGAAGGCUGAUGGAGCAACGCCGGGUGCGGGAUGACGGUCUUCGGGUUGUAAACCGCUUUAGCCUGGGACGAAGAGUGAGUGACGGUAAUGGGUAAAGAAGCACCGGCUAACUACGUG
This 476-nucleotide ribosomal RNA is filed under the name uncultured bacterium. Its description in RNAcentral is "partial 16S ribosomal RNA". It matches the Rfam family "Bacterial small subunit ribosomal RNA", at positions 28 to 507 of the family's 1533-position model. The record is from RNAcentral.